UCACCCUCAGAGCUCAGUAAGGCCACAGCCACCGGACAAGCUAGACACCUCCAUCUAUCCCGCGACUGGGAGAACCCUGUAGCCCAAGGUGGACGCCAGGACUGGCCGGACCUGACCUGUGCCCGCUACCCGGAGGAGGAGUUGCCGGACUUGCCCUGUGCCCGCUACCUGGAGGAGGAGUUGCCGGGCCUGCCACUCGCCCACUACCCUGAGGAGCCCAGAGGACAACACUCUGACCCAGACAUCAACGUGGACAUCUCACAGGUGUGAGAAUCUAGGGACAACAAGGAGGAUGAGGAAGAGGAGGCGGAAGAGAAUGGGAGACAGGCGAUUGGUGGAUCCAUACUGAGAUCAUUAAACUGAAAUGUCCCUUCACUGAGAGACUCAUCAUGCCCUAAGCUAAUGGACGUCCAACCAUAAGAGAACUCAGAAUGACUGUAAGGCACCAAAAGAGGAAAAAACAAGGUUCUUUUUUACCAUCUUUUCCCACCAUUAAACCAAUGUGUUUAAAAAAAAACAAAAAAACCCAGAAGACACGAAACAGAUGUGCAUCAAUGCCUCCCUGCUGCAAUCACAGGAAACUGACUGUCCAAUUUGCC
Long non-coding RNA from Mauremys reevesii (Reeves's turtle), 599 nucleotides. RefSeq lists it as uncharacterized. The transcript is spliced from 4 exons. The record is from RefSeq and is a predicted model, not a curated record. Lineage: Eukaryota; Metazoa; Chordata; Testudines; Geoemydidae.